Molecule: ribosomal RNA, 319 nt
Filed under: uncultured Staphylococcus sp.
Lineage: Bacteria; Bacillati; Bacillota; Bacilli; Caryophanales; Staphylococcaceae
Description: bacterial SSU rRNA
Rfam family: Bacterial small subunit ribosomal RNA
Source: RNAcentral
UGGGUUAAGUCCCGCAACGAGCGCAACCCUUAAGCUUAGUUGCCAUCAUUAAGUUGGGCACUCUAGGUUGACUGCCGGUGACAAACCGGAGGAAGGUGGGGAUGACGUCAAAUCAUCAUGCCCCUUAUGAUUUGGGCUACACACGUGCUACAAUGGACAAUACAAAGGGCAGCUAAACCGCGAGGUCAUGCAAAUCCCAUAAAGUUGUUCUCAGUUCGGAUUGUAGUCUGCAACUCGACUACAUGAAGCUGGAAUCGCUAGUAAUCGUAGAUCAGCAUGCUACGGUGAAUACGUUCCCGGGUCUUGUACACACCGCCCG